Molecule: ribosomal RNA, 102 nt
Filed under: Bacillus anthracis (anthrax bacterium)
Lineage: Bacteria; Bacillati; Bacillota; Bacilli; Caryophanales; Bacillaceae
Also listed under: 46 other names
Description: partial 23S ribosomal RNA
Rfam family: Bacterial large subunit ribosomal RNA
Source: RNAcentral
GGUUAAGUUAGAAAGGGCGCACGGUGGAUGCCUUGACACUAGGAGUCGAUGAAGGACGGGACUAACGCCGAUAUGCUUCGGGGAGCUGUAAGUAAGCUUUGA